GGGGAUGAUUAGGAUUCGACUGGAAGAGUGAAGUAAAUGUCGCAUGUAGAGGUGCGGGUGGCCUCUUAAAAACUCGCAUAAAGAUAAUCGCAAACGAUGAAUCUUUCGCUCUCGCUGCUUAAUCAGUUUUAAAGAGCAAACAGUAAGAACAGCUUAAUAACCUGUAUCUUACCCUGGAACCAUCUUUAUCCGAUUGGGGUGGAAUUCCGGGUCACCAAUAUCGGACAGGGUGUAUCCUCGGCUGGUGGAAAAACCUUAAAUUAAACAGUCUAGCAAUGUGACAGCGCGUCCGUCCGCGGUUGCAAAGCGAAAUUUAAAUGGCAAGACUAAACAUGUAGAAGCAGUUAUGGAGCCUUUUGGGACGCGGGUUCAAAUCCCGCCAUCUCCACCA
RNAcentral lists this transfer-messenger RNA (391 nucleotides) under Succinivibrionaceae. RNAcentral describes it as "WG-1 sp900539665 Standard tmRNA". It matches the Rfam family "transfer-messenger RNA". From Rfam's summary of the family: Bacterial tmRNA, also known as 10Sa RNA or SsrA, is named for its dual tRNA and mRNA-like properties. Its role is to liberate the mRNA from a stalled ribosome. The record is from RNAcentral. Lineage: Bacteria; Pseudomonadati; Pseudomonadota; Gammaproteobacteria; Aeromonadales. RNAcentral also lists the same sequence under 2 other names.